AAAUUGGAAUCAAAUACAAAAGAUAAAGAAUUUAGAAGGAAUACAACCCUUGUCACAUGAGCUUUCUUCCUUGCCUUCUUCAUCCUCCAUCUUCAUCCUAAUCUAGAUAAUAAACAAGAAUGGAAAAGCUACACUACUCUAUACUAAGCUAAACUAACACUAGGGAGAUGAAAGAGCUACAUUUCUGCAACUUCAAGCUUCUCCCGUAUGUCUCUCUAUUUUUCUGCUAUGAACUCCCCAUCUCCUUUUUUGCAAUGAAUUUGGCUAUUUAAUGAUGAAAGGUGGUCAAGAAAUGAGGAUUACAUCUCUCUUUUACAGCUGGGAAUGUUUCUCACAUGUCUAGCAUCCAAUGUGAGUUGGUGGAGGUGAAAUUGAGUUUUACGCGUACAGAGCAGCCUUUUCUGACCAGUGAUCCGAGCUGCUACAGUACCUCGGAUCCGUAUGGAUCCGAGCUCAAAUCCACUAACCCAGAAACAACCGAGGGUUCGGAUGAAUAGUGGAUCCGAGUGUGGAUCACUUGCUCUGUUUUUGGCCCAACUUCAACCAAUCUUUUCUUGAUGUUAGAGGCUGAACCAGCUCAUGUCUAAAACACGAAAGUUGUAGCCUUUUGAGUUAUCUUUCUAAUGCAUCAAGAAUCACCUCAUUUGGAUCUGUGUAGGCUGAGAUAUGACUGAAAUACCCUUGCCUGCUCAUUGCCCUGUUCCAGUUUCGACCAGUAGAAAUUUGCUAUUGUAAUUCGGCAUUUUGACCUGGAAAACCUUCAAACUGGAUUUAGAUGUCUUCACCAAAGUUGUAGAUCUAUCUCUUAUCUUCAAAUGGGUUCAAGAAUCAUCCCAAUCCGAUCAUUGUAACUCAAGUUAUAGCCGAAAUACGAAAAUGUGUCAAAACUGUCAAAAUACACAAAAUCCAAGUAAAAAGUGAUAAAAACCUCAUUUAAUCACUUAAAAACAUUUAUUCACCAAUUAUAGCCAAAAUGAUUCAUAUUCUUCCAAUAAUAUAACCAAAGUGACUAAAAAUAAUAUAAAAUGUCACACAAUUAUUACGUAAAUUAGUCACUUAUCAACAAUUCCAUGAAAAUCUUCAUAAUACAUAUACCAUAGCUUUAAUAAGAGACAAUCCAUUUUGAAAAAAUGCAGUUCAAGGGAUUUUGAGAAAUUUCAAAGAAAUUAUUUUUCAUGAGAACAGGGAAAUUGACCAAAACUAUCAUGGGCAUGCGAUUAGUAGUUUUCAAGUACUCUUGGAUCACUUGGCGUAUUUGUGAAUGUUUCAACUGGAUAGACAAAGACAACACAAACAGCAAGCUUUCAUACACUUUUCACUAUAAAACACAAUGCAAAAGACAAAUAAACCAUGUAUUGAAAUUCAAUAGUGAAAGAUGAAGAAGUAAUAAUACAUAAAUACAUAUAUAUAUAUAUACACACACACACACACAAGCAGAAGAUAAAGAGCUUGAUUAUAUUGGAUUCCACAACCAGAUGCUUCAGUUAACAUUAGUCUAUAUGUAACUUUUGUUUGGUUGACUUAUCUUUUUCCGUUAAAAAUAGAUAAUUAAUUCAAAAAAAGCAUCGCAUUGGAAAACCCUGUAAGAGGAAAAUAUAAAGGGCAAACCAACUAUGAAUGAAAUUAGCAUUAGAAAGUUUUGGAUGAUGCAAAAUGAAACCAAACGUGGAAACUUUCGACCGGCAAAAAAAAAAACUAUCCACAAUAACAAAACUCAGAGAUCACAAACACUUACAAAUACUCAAAGGAAAGCAAUGCCAAAGUAAGACUACGAGCAGCAGCAAAACCAAUAACUAAACAAGACAUUAAAACCUUUACCCUUCAAUAAAAUGGAAAAAACGAAGAGAAAAUAGAAACUUGGAGGUCUAGUUUAGCAUAAAAUUAGAAAAAUGAUUGAAAAAUAAACUAAAGAAAAACUCAAACCUUGAAAAGUUUAAUCUUUUUUCCUCCUUCCCGUCAAUUUUCCUUCCAAAAAUAAAAGAACCAGGUUUAUCUUCCUUUCAUUCGUUGACACUGUCUGCUCUCUCUACAAUAGAGAGAAAAUUUGUGAAAUGAAUGGAAUAAAAGAUAAAAUAUUCCUUUCACAAUAAAAAAAAAAGUUCUCAAUCAAAUCUCUAAAACCAAAAAAUGAAAAUAUAAAAAUAUGAAAAGCAAGUAUGUCAAACAUGGAGGUCUAAAUUCUUUGCUAAAAAAAAGCUUCAUUACCUUAGACCCUUUCCUUCUUCUGUAUUAUCACCCAUCGAAAGAACACUUUCUUCAAACCAAAAAAACAGCAGGGAGUAAAAUACAUAGUUAGAUUGAAGACUAAAAAAAUGAAAGAAUUGAAAAAAAAAGAACUCCAAGUCUUUCUUUGAUACAAAUAACGAUUUACCAAAGCAAAUGGAAGCAUGAGUAUUUUUUUUUGAGAAAAAAAAAAGAGAGGAAGAACUGGAAAAGAGAGAAGCUACUGAGAGGAAGAGAAGAAAGAGAGGGACGGCAGAAGUAUUGAGAGAGAGAGAGAGAGGAUAGUUAAUUUUGUAACCCUAGACAUUUUGUGACAAAAAAUCGAAGAGGAGUGGGUGUGAUUUGACAUGGGCCACUGUUUGCAAGAGCAGCUCACCUGCUCUCUAGCAACAGAGGAAGAGGAAGAAGCAAGAAACGAAGAGAUGGAACUCUGUCCUCCGCUUGUGCUAUUGUUAGUCACUUUGUCUUAUACAAUGCUCUCUUUCUUGUUAGAAUAGAAUUACAAUGAUGAUGAAGAAAAAGGACAGCUAUUAAUUAUUGCUCUCUUUAGUGGGUUCCAUACAGCAAAACACUCAGGCUUAGAAACGCACGGCCCAAUUUGCAACCUCUGCAUUAAAAACAAAACACACACACACACAGAUGGACGAACACACUCUAGCCAAUAACCAUUGGCCACGUCAGCAAAACAAGCAGCCCUUUUGAGCCAUGGCAUUCGCCCUUUUAUACAUAUGUUAAUAAAUUAAAACUUUUGGCUCAACAUUAAUAAAAUAUUGCUUACUUGCCCUCACUGCUUGAAUUGAAUCAAAAUCUUUAAUUUAUAUGUGUAAAUUAAUAACUAUGCACCCACAUUUAGUGAAUAUUGCCCAUCAAUCUUCAACAAAAUAUUUAUUUGAUAUUCUAAGUCAACAAUUUAUAAAUAAAUAAAUAACUACACAUUUCACCUCUUACACUUAAUUAAAACCACAAACAAAGACUAAAUUUUACUUUUACUCAUUUUCUACUUCAUUCUCAAUACACUUUAAAAACACAAAUACAUUUGAAAAAUUUUGUUAAAUUUUUAACUGUGAUUGAAACUCAAAAAAAUUGCUUUUUCUUCAUUUCACUUAUUAUACUUGCAGUUGAUAUUAAUUUUGUAACAUUAAUUGUCAAUUAGAGCGAAACAUUUUUCUCAAUUUACUGGCUACUUUUCAUAAAUAUGUGGUGAUCGAGGACUGACUCCCCAUUAACCAAUCAAAUUUGUUGAAUAACUAAGUAUUUAAUAGUAUAAAUUCUAAUAACGUGUAAUUGGAAAUAGUAGUAGGUGUAGUUUAUUUGGAAUCAAGCAAGUUCAAGCAUCUAACUCCAAGGAUUGGAACACCUGCAUCAAUCACUUUUUUUCUAUCUUAUAUUACACCAACCAAAGAAGGAAUCAUUGAAAAAGGGCACGAAAUUAAAGAGAAGCUAAACUAGUUUGAUAGCUUAAUUAAAGAACGAGUUACAAAUAAGAACCUCAAACUAAACAAAAUCUAACGAUUUGUAUUUUGUGCACUCAAUAAGUAUAAAUUUUAUUACAUGGACAUGUCUGCCAUACAUAUCUAAGGCUCUGUUUGAUAACCUAUCUCAACACUUAAACUUAAUAGAUUCAGAUUUUAAUAUAUUCGGAUUGUUUUAUAAUAAAAAAAUUGAAUAUAUGAAUUAAUUAAAUGGUACUUAUUUUCUAGGCAAAACUUGUUCCCAAAAUUAAGUGAUAAACUAUUUACUUAUCACUGAAUGUGAUAUGUACUCAAAUGUAUUAAAUUUAGUAUUUAACAAUUCAAUAAUUUAAUGGAUUCAAAUUCUAGAUUUCAGAUUUCAGAUUUCAGACAUCUGUUUUCAAACUUUUAUUUUAUCAAACACAUCCUAAGCUAAUAGGAGACUUUCAAUUGGUCAUCUUCUGCAACAGCAACAUAUGUUAAUAUAUAGAUGAUUUUUGAUGGUUAAUCUUGAUAGAUAAGGGUAUUAGUGUAAACCAAGAAACAAAAAAAUAAUUGCUAAUUUAACUCCUUGCUAAGGGUAUUAGUGUAAACCAAGAAACAAAAUAUUAAUUGCUAAUUUAACUCCUUGCACAACGAUAGUGUACUGAAAUCCUUAUACUAAAUAGCCAAUUGAAACUGCUAAUUUAAUUCAUAAGAAAUUAAAGCUAAUAAAUGAAUCAAAGAAAUUCUGUAACAGGUCUUGUUAACCUCAUGUUCAUCUGACUGGUAAUGGUCUGAGGAAUUCCUUCAAGGAUUACAUCAACUUGGCUCAACUGUGAGGCUUUAAACAGGUUGUCAAAGUAGCUUGUUACUUCCUUCUCCACUUCAGAUUUAGUAUUACACCAAUUUCCAUUCUACAUCUGAAGUGUAGCUAUUUUAUUUC
This 4599-nucleotide long non-coding RNA is filed under the name Coffea arabica (coffee). RNAcentral's name for it is "long non-coding RNA (CARA_LNC007720)". Lineage: Eukaryota; Viridiplantae; Streptophyta; Magnoliopsida; Gentianales; Rubiaceae. The record is from RNAcentral.